This is a long non-coding RNA of Acinonyx jubatus (cheetah), 2646 nucleotides long. RefSeq lists it as uncharacterized. NCBI's taxonomy places the organism in Eukaryota, Metazoa, Chordata, Mammalia, Carnivora, Felidae. The transcript is spliced from 3 exons. The record is from RefSeq and is a predicted model, not a curated record.
GUGGGAGGCAAAGAGGAGAGGAGAGAUGAAUCUGUAAUGAGAGAAGAGAGAAAAGAGAUACAAAAAAAGGUUAACCUGAGUACAAAGCUCCUUUCCCUAUACCAUUUGCCAACAUCCGAGGAACACCUACGUUUUUCAAAACACUGGAGACCGAAAAUCUACUCAGAUCCAUAACCUUGCAAGAACGGAGCUGCAAUCUGGUAACAGCACCAACACAACCAGAACGAGGCAUCUACUCCAGGACAAGAAGGUUGACUUCUUUACGGGCUGGAGCAAAUGUGAGAAAGCCAAGAAAGCCUGGCUACAUUUCUUAAUUUUUUGUAGAUCAGGCUGAGGUACACGGAUUCAGAGAAUUCAAAAUCAUUAAGACCAUUAACUCUGAUCUACGAGGAACGGAGGAAACAAAACUUUGCUCAGCGGGAUCUGGUUUAACUGCUUUUCUUGGGAGUCUGUCUUGACGUAGUGAUGAUGACUCCAUGGCAUUGGAGUCAGACAGCCCUGGCCUCAAAUUCCAGCUUGAAUAAUCACUGGCUGUGUGACUUAAUCAACUGCGACACCUCUCAGACCUUCAGUGUCUCCCCCUGUGAAUAAGACCUAUCUCACGUGAUAAUUAUGGGACUCAAAUGAAAUAAAGUGAUGAACAAAACAGACCAGAGACAAGAUCCCUGUCCUCAUGGAACUGCCUUUCUAGGCAGGGUGGUGGGGAAACUGCACGCGUGUGCGCGCACACACACACACACACACACACCAAUCAAUCGGGAAGUGAUGAGUACUGUAAAGAAAAUGAAACCAUUGUAAAAGGACAGGGAUGAUGGGGGGCAGGGGGCAAGGAGUGGUCUUCUUCUUUCAAGAGGGCAUGGUCAGGGAGGUCUUCUUUGAUAAUAUUGAGGAGACCUGAAUGACAUGAGAGUGGCCAUGAAGACAUCUCCAUGAAGAAUAUUCCAGGCAGGGGGAGGAGUUAAAACAAAGACCCUGAGGCAGGAACAGGAUUGGUAUGUUGAAGAGCAGGGGAAGACCUGUAUGGCCAGGACUGAUGGGUGACAGGAGGAUACUGGAGGGGGAGUCAGGGGGCUCACAGAACAGAGCAGGAGCCCCCUAUUGGCCACAGAACUCCGGAUUUUAUUCCGAGCUGAAUGAGGAGUCAUUAGAGAUUUCUGGGCAGAGUCAUGAUGCAAUUUGUUUUAUAUUUUGAAAGGAUCCAUCAGGUGCAUGCAAAAUAGAUUCUAGAGGGUCAAGGUGGAAGCAGAAAGUUCAGUUCGAUUAGUAAAGUAACCUAAACAAGAGAUGGUGGCUGAGGUGGUGGGUAGGAGAGGUGGUGAAAAAAUGGUCAUAUUUGGAAGAUUGUUUUCUAUUUUUUAAACAACUCUGUUGAGGCAUAAUUUACAUACCAUACACUUCAUCCAUUUUAAAUGUACAAUCAGUAUUUUUUGAAAAUUUCUAGAUUUAUGCAACCAUCACCCCAACCCAGUUUUAGAACAUUUCCACCAGCCCCCAAAGAUCCCCCAAUUCCCGUUCACGUUUCACUCCUGUUCUCACGCCUGGUCCCAGGCAACCACUAAUAUGCUUUCUCUCUCUGUGGGUUUGCCUUUCCUGGACGUUUCAUAUGAGUGGAAUCAUACAACAUGUAACCUUUUGAGUCUUGGUUCUUUCACUUAGCAUUUUCUUUUUGAAAAUCUAGGUUGUGGCAUAGAACAGUAGUCUAUUCCUUUUUUCUUUGCUAAAUAGUAUUCCGUUGCAUGAAGACAGUGCAUUUUGUUUAUCUGUUCACCAAUUGAUGGUCAUUUGGAUGGUCUUCCUUAAUGACUACUAUGACUAAUCCUUCUGUGAAUAUUCAUGUACAAGUCUUUGUGUGGACAUAGGUUUUCAUUUCCCUUGGGUAGAUACCUAGCAGUAGAAUUACUGGAUGUUACUGUAAGCUUAUAUUUGGCAUUGAGCAUUUCUUAUGUUAAGAAAGUGAAAAACUGUUUUCCAAAGUGACUGUAUCAUUAUGUAUUAACACUCAACAAUGUGUGAGGACUCAGGUUUCUCCAUUCACUCACCAGAGCUUGUUAUUACCUUUUUUAAAUUGUAGUCAUUCUAGUAGGUAUCUUGUGAUUUUAGUUUGCCUGUCCCUCAUCACUAAUGAUGUUGAACAUGUAUUGGCCGUGUGUAUGUCUUCUCUGAUGAAGUAUUUAAGUAUUCGACUCACUUUUUGAUUGACUUGUUUGUUUCUUUACCUUUGAGUUACAAGAAUGCUUCUUAUAUUUGGGACACAAGACCCUUUGUCGUAUUUAUGCUUUACAAAUAUUUUCUCCCAAUCUGUGGCUUGCCUUUUAAUUUUCUUGACAUAUAUUCUAAAGCAUAAAAUGUUUAAAAUUUGAUAAGGUCCAACGUAUCUACUUUUGGUGACAUAUCUAAGAACUUUUUUUUCAUUUUAAAGGCAAAUCUAACGGAAUUUGAUGAUGGGUUUGAUGUUGGGUCGGGAAGAAAAGAGGAGUCAAAGAUGACUGAAGAUUAUGUUCUGAGCAAUCAGAAAAAAAAGGAAUUUUCAUUUAUCAAGUGAAUAAAGACUGGGAAGGAAAAAGUUAGGCAGUGGGAACCCAAAGUUGUUUUAACCAAGUUACAUUUGAGAUCCUCGUUAGGUGUCAAAGUGAGGGUGUGAACCAG